Molecule: long non-coding RNA, 383 nt
Filed under: Malus domestica (apple)
Lineage: Eukaryota; Viridiplantae; Streptophyta; Magnoliopsida; Rosales; Rosaceae
Description: long non-coding RNA (MDOM_LNC011772)
Source: RNAcentral
CUCCCCGAGGCCCGAGCGCUCGAGGAUCCUCAUCUGGAACUCGACGCUCUUGGGGUUGUUGCUGAGGUUGAGGCGGGAGUGCUCCAUGAAGGUGGAGAAGGGGACGCGGCAGGUGACUGGAGGCUUGAAACAGGCGUAGUCGACGAGGUAGAUGGAGCGGGGUUUGGACAUAAAGUAGACGGUGGCGAUGAAGAUGAUGAGGAAUGAGGAGCAGAGGAUUUGGACGAGAUCGAAGUGAAGUGAGUCCCAGAGCUUGAGAAGCUCGUCGGGGCCGAGGCGGAUGACCUCCAGUAGGAUUCCGGCCAUGAUGAGGAUGAGAGUGAGGGUAAGAAUGUGGUUGACGAGGUACUGGUAGCCGAGCUUGACAUACUUGAGCUUGACGG